Molecule: ribosomal RNA, 253 nt
Filed under: uncultured bacterium
Lineage: Bacteria
Description: partial 16S ribosomal RNA
Rfam family: Bacterial small subunit ribosomal RNA
Source: RNAcentral
UACGUAGGGUGCAAGCGUUGUCCGGAAUUAUUGGGCGUAAAGAGCUCGUAGGCGGCUUGUCACGUCGGCUGUGAAAACCCGGGGCUCAACCCCGGGCCUGCAGUCGAUACGGGCAAGCUAGAGUUCGGCAGGGGAGACUGGAAUUCCUGGUGUAGCGGUGAAAUUCGUAGAUAUUCGGAAGAACACCAGUGGCGAAGGCGACUUCCUGGCCUGUUCUUGACGCUGAGGCGCGAAAGCUAGGGGAGCAAACGGG